AGUUACAUCGGACUGUGACACUUACUGUUUACAGGAGACUAUAAAACUUUGCCCAGUCGUCACUUGGGGCCCGCCUGCACCCAGGCCGUCAUUAAAACAGCAUGUUGCUCCACACCGCCUCGUGUUGUCUGUUGGUGUGCUCUCAGGGUGGAAACGAUACAAGAACGUUACACUUACAGGCUUUAGUUUAUAUUAUUCUCAUAGAAGACUUCCUCAUAAUCCAAUUUAAAAAAUGAGAGUUUCCCUGCACAAGCUCUUGCUUUGCCUGAUGCCAUCCAUGUAAGACGUGACUUGCUCCUCCUUGCCUUCUACCAUGAUUGUGAGACUUCCCCAGCCACGUGGAACUAUUAUGCUCCAAGACACUGAAUCUGAAAGGAUGCAUCCAGUCUUGCCAAGUGGUUUCACUACCAAGGCCAGUCUCCAUCUAUGAUAGACCCAAGGAAGAUCAUUUACAACUAGAAUCUAGUCAUUUAGGAGAUUGUGUGCUCCCUGGAUGGGCCAUCUGCACUGGUGUGAGGUUUAUCUCAUUGAAGGGAAAACCAAAGGAAUCUUCUUGAAUAUCAGCACCAGGAAGAGCAGUACAAACUGGAGAAGCUGGGUGUCAGCCCAGAACGGGAACUAAAUAAGCACUCGUAGCUUGAAUGAAUAAACAAGCAGCUCCCACUUGGAUAGUAUUUCCACACAUCAGGACUUGAGAGGUAAGUGGGUAGAGCUCGGUGCCUAUUACUUAUCUUCUGGAAUUAACAUGGAUUGUGCUGAGAACUCAAGCAAAAAUAAAAUAACUUUUAGACU
This 792-nucleotide long non-coding RNA is filed under the name Homo sapiens (human). RNAcentral describes it as "PREDICTED lncRNA (TCONS_00217135)". The record is from RNAcentral. Lineage: Eukaryota; Metazoa; Chordata; Mammalia; Primates; Hominidae.